RNAcentral lists this long non-coding RNA (238 nucleotides) under Elaeis guineensis (African oil palm). Its description in RNAcentral is "long non-coding RNA (EGUI_LNC001997)". The record is from RNAcentral. Lineage: Eukaryota; Viridiplantae; Streptophyta; Magnoliopsida; Arecales; Arecaceae.
CCUCUUCCACUGGCCGACCUUCAUCAGCAGUGAGAUGGAUGUCCAUUCACAUGUCUGCAACUUGCUUAUGGCUGAUGGUAGGGGCAGAAGAGCAUAGGAUAUCACCUAACUCUUUGGUGGUCUGCUUGCUGAUCGGAUCCUCACCACUCUGAUUUUAGCAUAUCGUAGCCAGGACUUGAGGGUGUGGGGUCGCUUUUGUCGCCUUAAGAUUUUCUUUAGGGAUCUGAUUGAGUUGUGU